AUGGAACGGGUAGGUCGAGAUGGAGGAACGCCAGUCGUCUCCGGAUGCGGCGGCUCUAGCGAGAUGGGAAGAGUGGAGGGAGGCGGCAGCUGCGCUGGGAGUAGAGAGCGCCGAGCGGGGAAGGAGGGAGGCAGGGGACCGCUCCGACCCGGCCGCCCUCCAUGGGGUCGCCACCGAGGCGCGCGGAUGGAGGAGGAGACGAGGACGCGGCGGCACAGAUGGAGGAGGAGGCGAGGAGGCGGCACGGAGGAGGAGGCGAGGACGCGACUAGGGUUCGUGGGGAAGACGCGGUCUGCGCGGUCUCGCUCCUGCCAGCGCUGCCUGCCUUUUUGA
RNAcentral lists this ribosomal RNA (333 nucleotides) under Triticum aestivum (bread wheat). Its description in RNAcentral is "partial small subunit ribosomal RNA". The record is from RNAcentral. Lineage: Eukaryota; Viridiplantae; Streptophyta; Magnoliopsida; Poales; Poaceae.